GAUUAACGCUGGCGGCGUGCCUAACACAUGCAAGUCGAGCGGCAGCGCGUUUUACACUGAAUUCUGGAAGCUUCUAGUCGAAAGAGAAGAUUUAUUCAAGAAUUUUGUGUAAAAUGUCGGCGAGCGGCGGACGGCUGAGUAACGCGUGGGAACGUACCCCAAAGUGAGGGAUAUCGCAUCGAAAGGUGUGCUAAUACCGCAUAUGGUCUUCGGAUUAAAGCCUUCGGGCGCUUUGGGAACGGCCUGCGUAAGAUUAGAUAGUUGGUGGGGGAAUGGUCUACCAAGUCGGCGAACUUUAACUGGUAUGAGAGGAUGGUCAGUCAGACUGGAACUGAGACACGGAGCAGACUCCUACGGGAGGCAGCAGUGAGGAAUCUUCCACAAUGGGCGAGAGCCUGAUGGAGCAACGCCGCGUGCAGUAUGCAGGCCUUCGGGUUGUAAACUGCUUUUAUAAGUGAGGAUUAUGACAGUAACUUAUGAAUAAGCAUCGGCUAACUACGUG
RNAcentral lists this ribosomal RNA (502 nucleotides) under uncultured bacterium. RNAcentral's name for it is "partial 16S ribosomal RNA". It matches the Rfam family "Bacterial small subunit ribosomal RNA", at positions 28 to 507 of the family's 1533-position model. The record is from RNAcentral.